Molecule: long non-coding RNA, 738 nt
Organism: Hippocampus zosterae (dwarf seahorse)
Lineage: Eukaryota; Metazoa; Chordata; Actinopteri; Syngnathiformes; Syngnathidae
Exons: 2
Source: RefSeq, a predicted model, not a curated record
UUGAGCAAUUCCAAUCACGUCCAAAUGAAACAUCUAAAUGAUUUCACCCUAUUUUUACCUAAGCGAAUUUUUCUUAAUUUGUAUUUUCUAAAGUGGCACGCACAACUGGCAACGUUGUCAAUAGGAUCCAUGUUCGCACAGAGCUGGAGAAACACCUAUCAUGUACAUGCCAGGCCAUGACCAUGCACAUGCAUGUUUCUCUUCCCUGUCUUCAUCCGAAGAAUAUUUAAUAUUCUAGUUUUUAAUUUAAAAUGAGGGGUUGGGAUUUGAGGUUUGGGAGUAAUGAGUCCCCACUGGUUACAGGAAAUGUAUAUGCAUCAUCAAGGUCAUCAUUGUUGGAUGCAUAGUUGCAACGCUAGCCCGGUCUUACGCCGGGCAUGUAUGAAUUAAUGUUGCGCUGGAAAAAAGACACUCAAGGACACUUUACAAUAACAAAAACACAAAACAAUACGGCUUGUUGUUUUGUAAAAGUACUUUAUAUUUUUAUGUGAACAUUCAUAUUUGUUUUUUCUUUAAAUCCUCUCAAUAUGUUAUUUGGAAUAUUUUGUUAAGAAUCACUUCCGAGUCACGUGCCGUGGAUAGCGAGGAAUUAGAAAGAUCGAGAAGACAACUUGAGAGAGAGACAGAGACAGAGCUACGAUACCGUGUGGUAUACGUGAUUUAAUUUGAUCUACUUUCGGUUUACCAAGGUGCACAUUUUUUCACGGUGUUCCACGAGUAAACGUUUUUUGGACAUCA